This 276-nucleotide unclassified non-coding RNA is filed under the name Hevea brasiliensis (rubber tree). The record is from RNAcentral. Lineage: Eukaryota; Viridiplantae; Streptophyta; Magnoliopsida; Malpighiales; Euphorbiaceae.
ACUCGAACUUGAAUCUACUAGGUGAGUGAUAUACCUUUAGUCACUAAACUAAAUUAGACUGGGCUAUUAUAUUUAGUACAAUAUGAUAUAAUGUAAUAUAAUCAACAAUGUAAUAUAAUUAAAGUUAUAAUUUAAGUGGCGACAAUGAUUGAAUGGUGGUUGUAAUGUUGGUGACAGUGAUGACAUCGCUAAGAUAAUGGUAAAAGGGUGGAGGUGGCGAUAAGUGAUGGUGGUGGAGGCGAUAGACAAAUGAUGGUGGGGUAGUAAUGGUGUUCG